RNAcentral lists this transfer RNA (57 nucleotides) under Proasellus coiffaiti. Its description in RNAcentral is "transfert RNA-L1(CTA)". The record is from RNAcentral. Lineage: Eukaryota; Metazoa; Arthropoda; Malacostraca; Isopoda; Asellidae.
CUAAAAUAGUCUAAGAAAGAUAUAAAAUUUAGAAUUUUAAGAUGUUAUUCUUUUAGA